RNAcentral lists this signal recognition particle RNA (99 nucleotides) under Clostridia bacterium. Its description in RNAcentral is "signal recognition particle sRNA small type". It matches the Rfam family "Bacterial small signal recognition particle RNA". From Rfam's summary of the family: The signal recognition particle (SRP) is a universally conserved ribonucleoprotein involved in the co-translational targeting of proteins to membranes. Archaeal SRP consists of a 7S RNA and homologues of the eukaryotic SRP19 and SRP54 proteins. The record is from RNAcentral. Lineage: Bacteria; Bacillati; Bacillota; Clostridia.
AGAUGGGCCCUGUGCGACGGUGGGCUGUGAACCAUGUCAGGCGGGGAACCGAGCAGCAUUAAGCAGUUUUUUCCGUGCGCCGCAGUCAGCCUAUUUGCC